RNAcentral lists this long non-coding RNA (1395 nucleotides) under Carassius auratus (goldfish). RNAcentral describes it as "lncRNA (ENSCARG00000061603.1)". The record is from RNAcentral. Lineage: Eukaryota; Metazoa; Chordata; Actinopteri; Cypriniformes; Cyprinidae.
UUCAUAUUUUUGUUAAAAAAAAAAUUAAGCACUUAAUUUCACAGUCUUUUCAAAGUUCCAGGUCUGUAGACUAUUUGCAACUGCACUCCCUGUACCUCAGCUCUUGAUUGAAAUGUCACUCUCCCUGUACAUCACGAUCAUAAUAUUUAAGCCCAUUGUCUUCUGAUUUUCAGAAAUCCAUUAAUCGGUUCCAUAGAGUUAUUAACCCAAACACAGACUGAUGCUGCAGAGAGAUAUUGAUGUCACUGUCCCGUGAUAAAAGAUCCUGGCGCUAUGAUGGAGAGGAUUAACUGGUUUUAUCUGGGAUUAAAGACGACCCCCGUCUAUGUUUCCUAAUGGCUGUGGUGGGUUAUAUUCAAAGCUUAAGACCUUCUAAAAGCUCUCUCCAUCCGUCGCUUCAGUCGAGAGAGAAGCUCGCUCACAAGUUUGUGCACAAGUACGUUACUCGAUCGCAGCAUGACAGAAAUGUUCAUUCUCGUUUUGAAGUAUGCACUGAUAUUUGCAUUUUAAUAAGAAGAAAAUCCAGAUGAAGAUUGUAGAACUGGACAUGACGUCUGUGGCGGACAAAAUGGAGGUAUUUGAUACUUUUAUCUUUACAUUUCAGAUUUAAUUUCAAAUGUAGGUUUUCGCGCCUACUGUCUGUUAAAAGUGAAUCGUAUGUUUUUGUCUCGACAGCGAGUGUCAGUCGAGCAGGACGAGAUGUUUUCUCCGAUUAGUGAAGCUCAGCGUGGAAGAACAGAUGAAGAACAGCGCGGUUUCUCGGGUCCAACAACAGAGCAACAAACUCACAGCUACAGCUCAGAUCCAGAUGCUUUUUUCCAGUUCCUGGUCAAGAGUCAAAGUCAGCGAUUAGACGACCAGCGGGUGGCACUGAGCUCAUUGCCAGGGAUGGAAGCGUUCACCAUCAAAGAUCCGAAAGAUGGAAGUGUACUGAAGACAAACUUUGAUCAGAUUUGCAACCUGGUCAGCAAAGCUAAUGUAAGUUUUCCAAACAAUAUAUAAUGCAUGCUGCAAGGUUCGUUUUUUUUUUUUUAAAUCAGUGUAUAUCUAUAAGAAAGGUUUGAGAGUGAACUUCUUUACCUGUUAUGUAGAGUUUGAAGAAACACAACCCUCCAAAAACAAGCCUGACCCCCGGGGCCCAGGACUCUAUGAGAAGAUCAAGCUACAAUCCUCCAACUGCUGCUGAUACAGACACCUACAACACUCUCACGACCAGAUCAGCCUCAUACAACCCUAUAUCAGACAAGGACAGAAUGGACCAUGAAAGUUUUCAAGUGAGUAUGAAUGUUAUAUUUACACUAGCCUCGGAUACUUAAGCCAUAUUUUUCUCAAAAUGCCUGUUAUUCUUGUUCUGAAUCCAUCAGCGUGAGCAGGAUCAGCUGUUGUGUCUAGUUA